RNAcentral lists this ribosomal RNA (469 nucleotides) under uncultured bacterium. RNAcentral describes it as "partial 16S ribosomal RNA". It matches the Rfam family "Bacterial small subunit ribosomal RNA", at positions 28 to 507 of the family's 1533-position model. The record is from RNAcentral.
GAUGAACGCUGGCGGCGUGCUUAACACAUGCAAGUCGAACGAAAAAGCCCUGCUUGCUGGGUGGAUUAGUGGCGAACGGGUGAGUAACACGUGAGUAACCUGCCCUUUACUUUGGGAUAAGCCUGGGAAACUGGGUCUAAUACUGGAUAGGAGCAUGCUGUGCACGGUGGGUGUUGGAAAGUUUUUUCGGUUUUGGAUGAGGUCGCGGCCUAUCAGCUUGUUGGUGGGGUAAUGGCCUACCAAGGCGUCGACGGGUAGCCGGCCUGCGGGGGUGGACGGCGGCAUCGCUAGGACUGGACCGCGGCCCAUACUCCUGCGGGAGGCAGUAGUGAGUAAUGUUGAACAAGGGGAGGAAGCCUGAUGCAGCGCCGCCUGGUGAAUGAUGGCGGCCGUCGUGUAGUAAACCUCCAGCAAUAGCGAAGAAGUGAUGGUGACGGUACCUGCAGAAGAAGCACCGGCUAACUACGUG